GGAAGCCGGGGUGGGGGGGGGUGUGGGGGGGUGCGGCUGCCAGAUGGGAGGAGCAGAGGCGCCCUCCUUCCCAUCCUCAUUCUGGAAGCAGUGGUUUUUCCUAGACGUGGGAGCAGAACCCACGGAUGGACCGAUCCAGGCUGAACCCCCAUGUCUGGUGACAUGAGGGGUGGAGGGGCCGCUCUGGAAGACUCUCUUGUAACACUCUGGGUGCCGACACCGAGCUCACGCCGGGAUGCCAGCCCGAUCCACGCGGAGGCCCCGCUCUGAGGAGCAGCCAGCACCCUGGCAGUCGGAACUGAGCAGACCGAGUGCUACAGUGGGGGAUGCAGCAGCCUGGAACAAAGACCCUUCUAGACAGGGGCCACGUGGGCGAUAUCUGUGCCAACCGGCCAGGCAAGGAAAGAGGCGGAGAGGGCAAGAGGAACAGUUGGGAAGGGCAGUCCAGGCAAAGGGAACAGCAUGAGCAAAGGCCCAGAGUCAGGGAGCUUGGGGUGGUCCGGAGCCACAAGUCGCAGCCCUUGGUGCAGCAUGAAGGGCGGGGGGAGGUGGUGGGAGAUAACCCCAGGGGGCUAGUCCAGUUGGCUCUCUUGAUUAUUAGAUGUCUUAAGUUUGUUCUCCAGCCGCAGCUGAGCCCGUGCCCCAGGGUAGGUCGCUGUCCCAGCAAAUGAGUGACCCCAAGAAUCAGAAAUCAGUCGCUGACCGCUCAAGCAGGAAAGGAGACUUUAUAGCAAAGGCACAGGAUGUUCUCAUGGAGCCCGGACACGCAGCCCAGUUUGGAGCACGGGCACUCAGAGCUCUUGGAUUCUUUCUCGGCACCGCUUGCUUGCCUGUCCCAUUUGCCCGCCUGCGUCCCACCUGCCACGCUGAUGUGGCCUGGAUCCCUUCUCCCAGAGAGAACUAUGUCCGGGUCCCAAACCCCGGGAAGCAGGAAUCGGUUAUGGCCAGUGGUCAAGUUUAUAUGUUACAUUUCUGUCAUGACAAAGCGAGGAAGGGCUACGAGAAGAGGGGGCCAGAUGGACAGCCAAGAGCAUCCACUCUCCAUCACACACACACACACACACACACACACACACACACACACAUGCUAAUUCCUUCGGCUUUCCCCAGAUAUCUCCAUUCUGAUUGGUCUUGCUUAAUCGUUAUACCACAAAGUCCACCGCAAAUAUCUCGUCCCCCUGCCAAAUGGGAGGCGAUCCAAGUCAGGUCCAACUAUUGCGUCCAGGGCUCCAUUCUCAGAGCUGGGAUCUUCAGCUGACACCCGGUCCUGCCUAUUUCUAUGGAGUCUCAUCUAAGGUGGCUCCUUGGAUCUGUCUCAAUCUAUAGGCUAAGCGAUCAGUUUAACCUCUCCUUCCGUGCUUGAUCUCUAGAGCAGAAAAGGGAAGGAAGAUACAGAGAACACACCCUGGUCUUCUAGCCAGGAGGAGUAAAUUAAACCUCAGGAACAAGA
Long non-coding RNA from Herpailurus yagouaroundi (jaguarundi), 1450 nucleotides. RefSeq lists it as uncharacterized. The record is from RefSeq and is a predicted model, not a curated record. NCBI's taxonomy places the organism in Eukaryota, Metazoa, Chordata, Mammalia, Carnivora, Felidae. The transcript has 2 exons.